UUUUACAGUUACAGACCUGUAAUGAUUUGUGAAAAUGAUCACAAUUAAUUAUGAACAUCUAAGGGACUGAGUUGUU
RNAcentral lists this small nucleolar RNA (76 nucleotides) under Solanum lycopersicum (tomato). RNAcentral's name for it is "Small nucleolar RNA SNORD25". It matches the Rfam family "Small nucleolar RNA SNORD25". Rfam says of the family: U25 is a member of the C/D class of snoRNA which contain the C (UGAUGA) and D (CUGA) box motifs. U25 is found in gene clusters in plants, and within the U22 snoRNA host gene (UHG) in mammals. Lineage: Eukaryota; Viridiplantae; Streptophyta; Magnoliopsida; Solanales; Solanaceae. The record is from Rfam by way of RNAcentral.